AGAGCAUACGGUGGAUGCCUUGGCGAUAUCUGCCGACGAAGGACGUGACAAGCUGCGAAAAGCUGCGGAGAGAUGCAAAUAAUCGGCGACCCGCAGACAUCCGAAUGGAGAAAUCCGGCUGUGAUGAUGCACAGCCAUCCAUGCCCAAGAGCAUGAGAAGGGAACCGGGCGAACUGAAACAUCUAAGUAACCCGAGGAAAAGAAAUCAAACGAGAUACCCCAAGUAGCGGCGAGCGAACAGGGAAGAAGCCCAAACCGGUGAAGGAAACUUUACCGGGGUUGAGGACCAUCAGACCCGCGAAGAACCUUAGCCGAAACUGUUGGGAAACAGUGCCGAAGACAGUGAAAGCCUGGUAGGCGAAAAAGAGAAACGCGGAGAUGGCACCAGAGUACCGCGGGACACGAGAAAUCCCGUGGGAAGCAGGGGGGACCACCCUCCAAGGCAAAACACAGAUAUCGACCGAUAGCGCAUAGUACCAUGAGGGAAAGGUGAAAAGCACCCCGGGAGGGGAAUGAAAGAGAACCUGAAACCGUAUGUUUACAAGCAGUCGGAGACCGCUUAAUAAUAAGGUCGACGGCGUGCCUAUUGAAGAAUGAACCGGCGAGUUACGAAGCCUGGCAAGGUUAAGCAGGAAAUGCGGAGCCGAAGCGAAAGCGAGUCUUAAGAGGGCGCAAGUCAGGAAGCGUAGACCCGAAACCACAGUGAUCUACCCAUGUCCAGGUUGAAACACAGGUAAAAAUGUGUGGAGGACCGAACCUAUAUCCGUUGAAAAGGGUUAGGAUGAGGUGUGGGUAGGGGUGAAAUUCCAAUCGAACGUGGAGAUAGCUGGUUCUCCCCGAAAUAGCUUUAGGGCUAGCCUCAGGGAAAAGAUUGCAGGCGGUAGAGCACUGAUCAGGAGAGGGACCUACCCGGUUACCAAACCCAGUCAAACUCCGAAUGGCUGCAAUCAUACCUGGGAGUCAGACUGCGACUAAUAAGGGCCGCAGUCAAAAGGGAAACAGCCCAGACCAUCAGCUAAGGUCCCUAAUGCCGUGCUAAGUGGCAAAGGAUGUGGCAUUUCAUAAACAACCAGGAUGUUGGCUCAGAAGCAGCCACUCAUUUAAAGAGUGCGUAAUAGCUCACUGGUCGAGAGACGCUGCGCCGAAAAUGUCCGGGGCUCAAGCACGGAACCGAAGCUAUGGCAUGAUAGCAAUAUCAUGGGUAGGGGAGCGUUCUUAUAAGGAAGAAGCAUGACCGGAAGGACAUGUGGACGAAUAAGAAGUGAGAAUGCCGGUAUGAGUAUCGAAAAGAAAGGUGAGAAUCCUUUCCACCGAAAGCCCGAGGGUUCCUGAGCAACGAUCGUCGACUCAGGGUAAGUCGGGACCUAAGCCGAGGCGAAAAGCGUAGGCGAUGGACAACAGGUUGAAAUUCCUGUACCGGAUCAAGUCGAUUGAGCGAAGGAGCGACGCAGGAGGGCACAUGAUCGCGCGGCUGGAAGAGCGCGUCCAAGUGCGUAUGUUGCAGCAGAGGAAAACCCCUGCGGCUGAAAGCAGAGACAUGAUGGGGAGUUAAAGGAAACUUUGACGAACUCAUGAAUCCCACACUGCCAAGAAAAACUUCUAGCGAGACAAGAUCCGCCCGUACCGUAAACCGACACAGGUAGGCGGGGAGAGAAUCCUAAGGUGCGCGGGAAAACCCUCGUUAAGGAACUCGGCAAAUUGCAUCCGUAACCUAGGGAGAAGGAUGGCCCCCGGUCAGUGAAGAGCAGAAACGCUCAGAGCUAAAAGGGGCGGCAGAAAAGAGGCCCAAGCAACUGUUUACCAAAAACACAGGUGCCUGCGAAAGCGAAAGCUGAAGUAUAGGUGCUGACGCCUGCCCGGUGCCGGAAGGUUAAGGAGAGAAGUUAGCGAACGCGAAGCAUCGAACUGAAGCCCCGGUGAACGGCGGCCGUAACUAUAACGGUCCUAAGGUAGCGAAAUUCCUUGUCGGGUAAGUUCCGACCCGCAUGAAAGGCGUAAUGAUUUGGGCACUGUCUCAACGAGGGGCCCGGUGAAAUUGA
RNAcentral lists this ribosomal RNA (2039 nucleotides) under human gut metagenome. RNAcentral describes it as "bacterial LSU rRNA". It matches the Rfam family "Bacterial large subunit ribosomal RNA", at positions 15 to 2044 of the family's 2925-position model. The record is from RNAcentral.